Molecule: unclassified non-coding RNA, 246 nt
Filed under: Pseudognaphalium sandwicensium var. kilaueanum
Lineage: Eukaryota; Viridiplantae; Streptophyta; Magnoliopsida; Asterales; Asteraceae
Description: partial external transcribed spacer
Source: RNAcentral
CUAAUUUAAUGGUAUUGCUUGAUGUAUUGGUUUUCCUUUCGUUUUGCAUUGCCUAUGCGAUGUGAGAUGAACCUUGAAGCAGCCUUUGUGAUCCACUGAUUUGAUGUAUAUGCAUUGAUUUUGUGGCCCAUUGAGUGUUGCUUGGUCUCAUGGAUAUGGAACCUGGUGUGGGCAUGAAAUCUUAAUGGUUCCUUGUUUGCCCAAGUUUAGCUUUUCUAAAACGAUUGUCUAUCAUGUGUUAACAUG